Molecule: ribosomal RNA, 466 nt
Filed under: uncultured bacterium
Lineage: Bacteria
Description: bacterial SSU rRNA
Rfam family: Bacterial small subunit ribosomal RNA
Source: RNAcentral
UGCCAGACUCCUACGGGAGGCAGCAGUGAGGAAUAUUGGUCAAUGGGCUUACGCCUGAACCAGCCAAGUCGCGUGAGGGAAGACUGUCCUAUGGGUUGUAAACCUCUUUUGUCAGGGAGCAACGCCGGCUACGUGUAGCCGGACUGAGAGUACCUGAAGAAAAAGCAUCGGCUAACUCCGUGCCAGCAGCCGCGGUAAUACGGAGGAUGCGAGCGUUAUCCGGAUUUAUUGGGUUUAAAGGGUGCGUAGGCGGAGUGUCAAGUCAGCGGUAAAAUUUCGGGGCUCAACCCCGUCGUGCCGUUGAAACUGACGCCCUUGAGUGAGUGAGAAGUAUGCGGAAUGCGUGGUGUAGCGGUGAAAUGCAUAGAUAUCACACAGAACACCGAUUGCGAAGGCAUCUCACGAAUCCGCGAUUGACGCUGAUGCACGAAAGCGUGGGUAUCAAACAGGAUUAGAUACCCCCGUA